UAAAAGAUAGUUUAAACCAAAAUUCUAGCUUUGGGAGCUAUUGAUGGAUGCAUAUUCCUCUUUUAA
RNAcentral lists this transfer RNA (66 nucleotides) under Rieppeleon kerstenii. RNAcentral's name for it is "tRNA-Pro". Lineage: Eukaryota; Metazoa; Chordata; Lepidosauria; Squamata; Chamaeleonidae. The record is from RNAcentral.